AUCCUGCCGGAGGCCAUUGCUAUCGGUGUCCGAUUUAGCCAUGCGAGUCGCACGUAUAACGUGGCAAACGGCUCAGUAACACGUGGUCGAACUACCCUACGGACCGUGAUAACCUCGGGAAACUGAGGCUAAUAACGGAUAGUGCUCCCGAGCUUGAAUGCUGGGAGCGCGAAAGCUCCGGCGCCGUAUGAUGUGACUGCGGCCGAUUAGGUAGACGGUGGGGUAACGGCCCACCGUGCCGAUAAUCGGUACGGGUUGUGAGAGCAAGAACCCGGAGACGGACUCUGAGACAAGAGUCCGGGCCCUACGGGGCGCAGCAGGCGCGAAACCUUUACACUGCACGCAAGUGCGAUAGGGGGACACCGAGUGCGAGGGCAUAGAGCCCUCGCUUUUGUGUACCGUAAGGUGGUACACGAAUAAGGGCUGGGCAAGACCGGUGCCAGCCGCCGCGGUAACACCGGCAGCCCAAGUGAUGGCCGCUAUUAUUGGGCCUAAAGCGUCCGUAGCCGGCCGUACAGGUCCGUCGGGAAAUCCACUGGCUUAACUAGUGGGCGUCCGGCGGAAACCGUU
This 570-nucleotide ribosomal RNA is filed under the name uncultured archaeon. RNAcentral's name for it is "bacterial SSU rRNA". It matches the Rfam family "Archaeal small subunit ribosomal RNA", at positions 11 to 588 of the family's 1478-position model. The record is from RNAcentral.